RNAcentral lists this long non-coding RNA (298 nucleotides) under Elaeis guineensis (African oil palm). RNAcentral's name for it is "long non-coding RNA (EGUI_LNC048715)". Lineage: Eukaryota; Viridiplantae; Streptophyta; Magnoliopsida; Arecales; Arecaceae. The record is from RNAcentral.
AUUCACCAAUGUAUGCAAAGCUGUCAUUGGGACCCUUAUCUAAUAGUUAUUGGGCCCAACCCCAUCUCUAUUCUAGGGCAUUAAAUGCCAAUAGAGUGAUUAUACCUUCUCGAUGCAACUGAAUCACUGUAACCAGCCGAGAACGAUCAACGUUAGGAAAGCAUCCGCAUCUCUACAACGAUGAAAGACCUCUAGACUUAAUAUUUAGUAAGAAGAUUUAGGUUUAGAUCUCUUCUAGAUCAGUAGAUAUGAUAUUCAACUGAUCAAGUUUAGGUCAGCACAUCCAUAUGUCUGACCA